This 204-nucleotide ribosomal RNA is filed under the name uncultured bacterium. RNAcentral describes it as "partial 16S ribosomal RNA". It matches the Rfam family "Bacterial small subunit ribosomal RNA", at positions 524 to 720 of the family's 1533-position model. The record is from RNAcentral.
UACGUAGGGUGCAAGCGUUGUCCGGAAUUAUUGGGCGUAAAGGAGCUCGUAGGCGGUCUGUCGCGUCGGAUGUGAAAACCCACGGGGCUCAACCCCAUGGCCUGCAUUCGAUACGGGCAGACGUAGAGUUCGGUAGGGGAGGACUUGGAAUUCCGUGGUGUAGCGGUGAAAUGCGCAGAUAUCAGGAGGAACACCGUGGCGAAG